GGUCUGAAGUUAGUGAGUUAUCUCGAUUGUUCAGUCAGUUACAGAUCGAACUCCUUGUUCUACUCUUUCCCCCCUUCUCACUGCAGCAUUUUAAAAAAAUCUGAA
Y RNA from Macaca fascicularis (crab-eating macaque), 105 nucleotides. It matches the Rfam family "Y RNA". From Rfam's summary of the family: Y RNAs are components of the Ro ribonucleoprotein particle (Ro RNP), in association with Ro60 and La proteins. The Y RNAs and Ro60 and La proteins are well conserved, but the function of the Ro RNP is not known. In humans the RNA component can be one of four small RNAs -- hY1, hY3, hY4 and hY5. The record is from Ensembl. Lineage: Eukaryota; Metazoa; Chordata; Mammalia; Primates; Cercopithecidae.